Molecule: small nucleolar RNA, 106 nt
Organism: Gastrolobium bilobum
Lineage: Eukaryota; Viridiplantae; Streptophyta; Magnoliopsida; Fabales; Fabaceae
Source: RefSeq, a predicted model, not a curated record
AUGCCAUGGUUAGGACACUACUUCAGGAGAAUUUUAAACCUCUGCCAUACAUCCACUAAAGUCUCACCAUCUUUCUGCAUGAAAUUGGUGAUCCCACCUCUAUUUU